CCUACGGGUGGCAGCAGUAGGGAAUAUUGCUCAAUGGGCGAAACCCUGAACCAGCAACGCCGCGUGGAGGAUGAAGGUUUUCGGAUUGUAAACCUCUUUUGUUAGAGAAGAUAAUGACGGUAUCUAACGAAUAAGCACCGGCUAACUCCGUGCCAGCAGCCGCGGCAAUACGGAGGGUGCAAGCGUUAUUCGGAAUCACUGGGCGUAAAGGGCGCGUAGGCGGGAUAGCAAGUCAGAUGUGAAAUCCUAUGGCUUAACCAUAGAACUGCAUUUGAAACUGUUAUUCUAGAGUAUGGGAGAGGUAGGUGGAAUUCUUGGUGUAGAGGUGAAAUCCGUAGAGAUCAAGAGGAAUACUCAUUGCGAAGGCGGCCUGCUAGAACAUAACUGACGCUGAUGCGCGAAAGCGUGGGGAGCAAACAGGAUUAGAUACCCUGGUAGUC
Molecule: ribosomal RNA, 440 nt
Filed under: uncultured bacterium
Lineage: Bacteria
Description: partial 16S ribosomal RNA
Rfam family: Bacterial small subunit ribosomal RNA
Source: RNAcentral